Long non-coding RNA from Sitodiplosis mosellana (orange wheat blossom midge), 608 nucleotides. RefSeq lists it as uncharacterized. The record is from RefSeq and is a predicted model, not a curated record. The transcript has 3 exons. Lineage: Eukaryota; Metazoa; Arthropoda; Insecta; Diptera; Cecidomyiidae.
AGCGACAUUGGCAGCCCAAACAUAGUUGAGAUGCGAAAAGAUCUUCAGCCGACAAAGAACGAUUGUGUGAAGCAUAUCUUUGAAUGCGUGCAAAGCAUAGCUGCCGCUGCAUGUGUUCCUUUGUCUCUCACUUAGUCUAACGGCUGAUGCGUUACACACAUCACAAAUACUUCUUGCCAUGACAUUAUCAAAUUAAAAUACAACGCAGUUGAUAUUUGCGGUUGUACUGAACGGAUUGCAUUUUGUGUGAAGCAAAAGAGGAAAUAAGGAUUGUGAAAAUGAAGAUCGUUCAUUGGAUGCUGCUAUUGCUUUUUUGUCUAUCACAUUUGAGUGAUGCCCGUUUGGAUUUUUGGCAUGGAAAAGAGCGCAAACUAAAAUCACGAUUCAAUGACUUGAACCCGAACAAAUUCUCUCCCGUCAUAUUCAUUCCGGGCGAUAGAGGCAGCCAGGUUGAAGCCAAAUUAAAUAAGCCAUCAACGAUUCAUUUCUAUUGCGAGAAAACCGCUGAUUUUUUCAACAUUUGGUUGAAUCCAAAGCUAUUGGUGCCAUUGGUCAUCGAAUGUUGGAUCGAUAAUGUAAAAGUAUGAAUCAUUUUUUGUGUUUCUGAA